RNAcentral lists this long non-coding RNA (199 nucleotides) under Panax ginseng (ginseng). Its description in RNAcentral is "long non-coding RNA (PGIN_LNC015768)". Lineage: Eukaryota; Viridiplantae; Streptophyta; Magnoliopsida; Apiales; Araliaceae. The record is from RNAcentral.
AGCCAGGUUCUAAAACGGACUCAAACGACGGACCAACUAACGGACUCAUCAAAAAAUGAAGCACGCGGGUCAUUUUGAACCUUCCGGGUCAAAUAUUGAGAGAAACAAACCCGGACAAUUGAGAUCUCCCCUCCUUCUUUCUUAAUCUUCCAACGUAGAGAUCGAAAACCCUUACCAGUACUUCGCGAGAAAAUCUCUG